RNAcentral lists this long non-coding RNA (1415 nucleotides) under Oryctolagus cuniculus (rabbit). RNAcentral's name for it is "lncRNA (ENSOCUG00000034097.1)". The record is from RNAcentral. Lineage: Eukaryota; Metazoa; Chordata; Mammalia; Lagomorpha; Leporidae.
GUUUAAUCUUAUAUCUAUGAUUUUUUUUAACUUUUUAUUUCUGAUAUUUUUCCUAUGCAAUUUGCUUUGGAAAUUCAACAUAGAUAAUUAGGUCAUUUAGACAAAUAAAUACUAUUUCACUUCUCUUGCAGUCUGAUGAUUUUUAUUUAUUUUGUUUUCUUACCAAGCUGACCCAAACCUGCAGUAUAAUAUUGAAUAAAAAAGGUGAAAGUGAUCACUGUGCUUCAUCCAUCCAUAGUUUUGGAAGGAAAACAUUUAUUAGUCUUUCUUCAUUAAGUAUGAUCUUAGCUAUAGGUUUCCACAGGUGCCUUUAUGAGAUUUAGGAAGUUCCUUCUAUUCAUAGAUUCUAAAAAUAAUAAUAAAAAUCAAUUUUAUCCCUUUUAAAAUUAAUGUGGUAUAUCAAUAUUAAUUUUUGGAUGUUAAGCUAAUCUUGCAUUCUGGGAUAAAUACCACUUUGUCACGGUGUAUAAUCUUUCUAUAUUUUCUGGAGUAAUACUUGUUUUAAUUAAUUAAUUAAAUUAGUUAAUUAAUUAAUUAAUACUGUAAUACUUGUUUUAAGAUUUUUGAAUCCAUAUACCAUCUACCAAGGAUAUGAAUUUGUAUUUUUAUAUUCUUGUUGGGUUUUUUUUUUUUUUUGGAUUCCAUUAGUGUCCUUCGUUUCAAAGUCUGCCUCUCCAGAGAUUGUUUCCAACUUUGUCUCUUAGUAAACACUGGCUCUAUCUGACUCUGUCCUCUGCACUGUCACAAUGGCUCAGUUGCCCAUUAGACUCACAAAAUCUUACCCAGCAAAAAACACUGUGCAAGGACUUCAAGAAAGGAGCUGCAUCCAACAUUAAUCUAUUUCUCUAAGAGUUUCUCUAUCUGUCAGAUGUUCCUCCAUAGACAAAGAUUUGGGAUUAUUUGAGUUUGCAUUUCAAAGGCUGACUAUGCUAGUUGAGUUAGCACAGGGAAGUUGCUUGGUUUGGUGACCUUCUAGCCUUUGAUCAAGGAAUGCUGUAUAACUAUGGUUAUGCAACUGAGCUUAGGGUCCCUAAUCCAAAAAUUCAGACUCAUUUAUUAAAAAAAGAAAAGAAAAGAAAACUAAUAUCCAGUUUGACCAAGUAUAUCCUGCCAGAGAAUUCCUUAGACAACACAAGAAAUAAGUAUAUAGAGAGUAUAGGAAGAAGCUCAUUAUGUUCUCGCUGGUCAGAUAUUUUACUUUGCUUUGAGAGUGCAAAUACCAAUAAAACCUGAUCUUUGUCCUGGAUAAAGAAGAAUUCACAUCUUUGAAGAACUAACACUGUGGGUAGAAUGUGAUUUCACCAAUUUUUGCAUAUUUUAUUGUUUUACACGCCAAACAACUUUGAUAAAUUGGUAUUAUUAACUUUAUUCUACUGAUAAGAAAAUAAAGAUUAAAGCAAGUAUUUCGGCUUCCA